GACGGGGGAUGCAAGCGUUAUCCGGAAUGAUUGGGCGUAAAGGGUCCGCAGGUGGCCCGGUCAGUCCGCUGUCAAAGCCUGGGGCUCAACCUUGGAGAGGCGGCGGAGACCACCGGGCUUGAGUCCGGUAGGGGCAGAGGGAAUUCCCGGUGGAGCGGUAGAAAUGCGUAGAGAUCGGGAGGAACACCAGUGGCGAAGGCGGCGACCUGGACGGACGACGUGACGCUG
This 228-nucleotide ribosomal RNA is filed under the name uncultured bacterium. RNAcentral describes it as "partial 16S ribosomal RNA". It matches the Rfam family "Bacterial small subunit ribosomal RNA", at positions 524 to 748 of the family's 1533-position model. The record is from RNAcentral.